RNAcentral lists this ribosomal RNA (425 nucleotides) under uncultured bacterium. Its description in RNAcentral is "bacterial SSU rRNA". It matches the Rfam family "Bacterial small subunit ribosomal RNA", at positions 354 to 796 of the family's 1533-position model. The record is from RNAcentral.
GUGGGGAAUAUUGGACAAUGGGCGCAAGCCUGAUCCAGCCAUGCCGCGUGAGUGAUGAAGGCCCUAGGGUUGUAAAGCUCUUUCACCGGUGAAGAUAAUGACGGUAACCGGAGAAGAAGCCCCGGCUAACUUCGUGCCAGCAGCCGCGGUAAUACGAAGGGGGCUAGCGUUGUUCGGAAUUACUGGGCGUAAAGCGCACGUAGGCGGACAUUUAAGUCAGGGGUGAAAUCCCAUAGCUCAACUCUGGAACUGCCUUUGAUACUGGGUGUCUUGAGUAUGGAAGAGGUAAGUGGAAUUCCGAGUGUAGAGGUGAAAUUCGUAGAUAUUCGGAGGAACACCAGUGGCGAAGGCGGCUUACUGGUCCAUUACUGACGCUGAGGUGCGAAAGCGUGGGGAGCAAACAGGAUUAGAUACCCGAGUAGUCC